Molecule: transfer RNA, 87 nt
Filed under: Candidatus Allofournierella excrementigallinarum
Lineage: Bacteria; Bacillati; Bacillota; Clostridia; Eubacteriales; Oscillospiraceae
Description: Candidatus Fournierella excrementigallinarum (gut metagenome) tRNA-Leu
Rfam family: tRNA
About the family: Transfer RNA (tRNA) molecules are approximately 80 nucleotides in length. Their secondary structure includes four short double-helical elements and three loops (D, anti-codon, and T loops).
Source: RNAcentral
GCCGCUGUGGCGGAAUUGGCAGACGCAAGGGACUUAAAAUCCCUCGGUGGCAACAUCGUACCGGUUCGAUCCCGGUCAGCGGCACCA